This 985-nucleotide ribosomal RNA is filed under the name Latilactobacillus sakei. Its description in RNAcentral is "bacterial SSU rRNA". It matches the Rfam family "Bacterial small subunit ribosomal RNA", at positions 232 to 1215 of the family's 1533-position model. Lineage: Bacteria; Bacillati; Bacillota; Bacilli; Lactobacillales; Lactobacillaceae. The record is from RNAcentral.
CGCGGUGCAUUAGUUAGUUGGUGAGGUAAAGGCUCACCAAGACCGUGAUGCAUAGCCGACCUGAGAGGGUAAUCGGCCACACUGGGACUGAGACACGGCCCAGACUCCUACGGGAGGCAGCAGUAGGGAAUCUUCCACAAUGGACGAAAGUCUGAUGGAGCAACGCCGCGUGAGUGAAGAAGGUUUUCGGAUCGUAAAACUCUGUUGUUGGAGAAGAAUGUAUCUGAUAGUAACUGAUCAGGUAGUGACGGUAUCCAACCAGAAAGCCACGGCUAACUACGUGCCAGCAGCCGCGGUAAUACGUAGGUGGCAAGCGUUGUCCGGAUUUAUUGGGCGUAAAGCGAGCGCAGGCGGUUUCUUAAGUCUGAUGUGAAAGCCUUCGGCUCAACCGAAGAAGUGCAUCGGAAACUGGGAAACUUGAGUGCAGAAGAGGACAGUGGAACUCCAUGUGUAGCGGUGAAAUGCGUAGAUAUAUGGAAGAACACCAGUGGCGAAGGCGGCUGUCUGGUCUGUAACUGACGCUGAGGCUCGAAAGCAUGGGUAGCAAACAGGAUUAGAUACCCUGGUAGUCCAUGCCGUAAACGAUGAGUGCUAGGUGUUGGAGGGUUUCCGCUCUUCAGUGCCGCAGCUAACGCAUUAAGCACUCCGCCUGGAGAGUACGACCGCAAGGUUGAAACUCAGAGGAAUUGACGGGCGCCCGCACAAGCGGUGGAGCAUGUGGUUUAAUUCGAAGCAACGCGAAGAACCUUACCAGGUCUUGACAUCCUUUGACCACUCUAGAGAUAGAGCUUUCCCUUCGGGGACAAAGUGACAGGUGGUGCAUGGUUGUCGUCAGCUCGUGUCGUGAGAUGUUGGGUUAAGUCCCGCAACGAGCGCACCCUUAUUACUAGUUGCCAGCAUUAGUUGGGCACUCUAGUGAGACUGCCGGUGACAACCGGAGGAAGGUGGGGACGACGUCAAUCAUCAUGCCCCUUAUGACCGGGCU